CUAAUAUUAGGAGCUAAUGAGGUACCAUGAAGAAUAAGCACCGGCUAACUACGUGCCAGCAGCCGCGGUAAUACGUAGGGUGCAAGCGUUAAUCGGAAUUACUGGGCGUAAAGCGUGCGCAGGCGGCUUUGCAAGACAGAUGUGAAAUCCCCGGGCUCAACCUGGGAACUGCAUUUGUGACUGCAUGGCUAGAGUACGGUAGAGGGGGAUGGAAUUCCGCGUGUAGCAGUGAAAUGCGUAGACUCUUCUUUAGUGGCACCGAUGGCGAAGGCAAUCCCCUGGACCUGUACUGACGCUCAUGCACGAAAGCGUGGGGAGGGAACUGUUCUUAGACUUCCUGGUAGUCCACGCCCUAAAGCAGCUCAACUGGUUCUUGGACGUCUUGCUGUUCACUAACGAAGCUAACGCGUGAAGUUGACCGCCCGGGGAGAAAUGCCGAAAGGUUGAAACUCAAAGGAAUUGACGGGGACCCGCACAAGCGGUGGAUGAUGUGGUUUAAUUCGAUGCAACGCGAAAAACCUUACCUACCCUUGACAUGUCUAGAAGUUACCAGAGAUGGUUUCGUGCUCGAAAGAGAACUAGAACACACGUGCUGCAUGGCCGUCGUCAGCUCCUGUCGUGAGAUGUUGGGUUAAUCCCGCAACCAAGCGCAACCCUUAUCAUUAGUUGCUACGCAAGGGGACUCUAAUGAAACUGGCGGUGGACCAACCCGGAGGAAGGUGGGGGAUGACGUCAG
RNAcentral lists this ribosomal RNA (736 nucleotides) under uncultured bacterium. Its description in RNAcentral is "bacterial SSU rRNA". It matches the Rfam family "Bacterial small subunit ribosomal RNA", at positions 455 to 1188 of the family's 1533-position model. The record is from RNAcentral.